Molecule: ribosomal RNA, 953 nt
Filed under: uncultured bacterium
Lineage: Bacteria
Description: bacterial SSU rRNA
Rfam family: Bacterial small subunit ribosomal RNA
Source: RNAcentral
UUACUGGGCGUAAAGCGCGCGUAGGUGGUUUGUUAAGUUGGGAUGUGAAAGCCUGGGCUCAACCUAGGAACUGCAUCCAAAACUAACUCACUAGAGUACGAUAGAGGGAGGUAGAAUUCAUAGUGUAGCGGUGGAAUGCGUAGAUAUUAUGAAGAAUACCAGUGGCGAAGGCGGCCUCCUGGAUCUGUACUGACACUGAGGUGCGAAAGCGUGGGUAGCGAACAGGAUUAGAUACCCUGGUAGUCCACGCCGUAAACGAUGACAACUAGCUGUUAGGAGACUAUGUCUUUUAGUGGCGCAGCUAACGUUUUAAGUUGUCCGCCUGGGGAGUACGGCCGCAAGGCUAAAACUCAAAUGAAUUGACGGGGACCCGCACAAGCAGUGGAUCAUGUGGUUUAAUUCGAUGCAACGCGAAAAACCUUACCUACUCUUGACAUACUUGGAAGCUCUUGUAAUGAGAGUGUGCUUUUAAGAACCAAGAUACAGGUGCUGCAUGGCUGUCGUCAGCUCGUGUCGUGAGAUGUUCCGUUAAGUCGGAUAACGAGCGCAACCCUUACCCUUAUUUGCCAGCGAUUCGGUCGGGAACUAUAAGGGGACUGCCGGUGAUAAACCGGAGGAAGGUGAGGACGACGUCAAGUCAUCAUGGCCCUUACGAGUAGGGCUACACACGUGAUACAAUGGGAGAGACAGACGGACGCUAAGCCGCGAGGUGGUGCUAAUCCUAGAAACUCUCUCGUAGUCCGGAUUGGAGUCUGCAACUCGACUCCAUGAAGUUGGAAUUGCUAGUAAUCGCGGAUCAGCAUGCCGCGGUGAAUACGUUCUCGGGUCUUGUACACACCGCCCGUCACACCAUGGAAGUGGAUUGCACCAGAAGUAGAUAGUCUAACCUUAGGGAAGGCGUUUACCACGGUGUGCUUCAUGACUGGGGUGAAGUCGUAACAAGGUAACCAAGG